UACGUAGGGCGCAAGCGUUAUCCGGAAUUAUUGGGCGUAAAGAGCUCGUAGGCGGUUUGUCGCGUCUGCCGUGAAACCCCGGGGCUUAACUCCGGGCCUGCAUUCGAUACGGGCUGACUAGAGUUCGGCAGGGGAGACUGGAAUUCCUGGUGUAGCGGUGAAAUGCGCAGAUAUCAGGAGGAACACCGGUGGCGAAGGCGGGUCUCUGGGCCGAUACUGACGCUGAGGAGCGAAAGCGUGGGGAGCGAACAGG
Molecule: ribosomal RNA, 253 nt
Filed under: uncultured bacterium
Lineage: Bacteria
Description: partial 16S ribosomal RNA
Rfam family: Bacterial small subunit ribosomal RNA
Source: RNAcentral